UACGUAGGGGGCAAGCGUUAUCCGGAUUUACUGGGUGUAAAGGGUGCGUAGGCGGCCUGCUAAGUCUGGAGUGAAAGGUACCGGCUCAACCGGUACAGGCUCUGGAAACUGGCGGGCUAGAGAGCAGGAGAGGGCGGUGGAACUCCAUGUGUAGCGGUAAAAUGCGUAGAUAUAUGGAAGAACACCAGUGGCGAAGGCGGCUUACUGGACUGUAACUGACGUUGAGGCUCGAAAGCGUGGGGAGCAAACAGG
RNAcentral lists this ribosomal RNA (252 nucleotides) under uncultured Allobaculum sp. RNAcentral's name for it is "partial 16S ribosomal RNA". It matches the Rfam family "Bacterial small subunit ribosomal RNA", at positions 524 to 776 of the family's 1533-position model. The record is from RNAcentral. Lineage: Bacteria; Bacillati; Bacillota; Erysipelotrichia; Erysipelotrichales; Erysipelotrichaceae.